This 87-nucleotide transfer RNA is filed under the name Pseudolysobacter antarcticus. It matches the Rfam family "tRNA". Rfam says of the family: Transfer RNA (tRNA) molecules are approximately 80 nucleotides in length. Their secondary structure includes four short double-helical elements and three loops (D, anti-codon, and T loops). Further hydrogen bonds mediate the characteristic L-shaped molecular structure. tRNAs have two regions of fundamental functional importance: the anti-codon, which is responsible for specific mRNA codon recognition, and the 3' end, to which the tRNAs corresponding amino acid is attached (by aminoacyl-tRNA synthetases). tRNAs cope with the degeneracy of the genetic code in two manners: having more than one tRNA (with a specific anti-codon) for a particular amino acid; and 'wobble' base-pairing, i.e. permitting non-standard base-pairing at the 3rd anti-codon position. Lineage: Bacteria; Pseudomonadati; Pseudomonadota; Gammaproteobacteria; Lysobacterales; Rhodanobacteraceae. The record is from Rfam by way of RNAcentral.
GCCCGAGUGGCGAAAUUGGUAGACGCAACGGACUUAAAAUCCGUCGGCCCUAAACAGGUCAUGCCGGUUCGAUUCCGGCCUCGGGCA